Molecule: long non-coding RNA, 1604 nt
Filed under: Agrilus planipennis (emerald ash borer)
Lineage: Eukaryota; Metazoa; Arthropoda; Insecta; Coleoptera; Buprestidae
Description: uncharacterized LOC108740538
Source: RNAcentral
GUGCUUUUAACUCUCCAAAUAUGUAAUCGACAACAAACCUAACCAUUACAGUUACUUUGUAAUUAUUUAUUCAGGUUUAUUAAAAAAAGAUUAUGACUAGCUGUAGCUUUAAGUUUUUAAUAUGUAACAUAAGUAAAUUUGUAUUAAUGCAUGCUCCAUCAGAAAUUGAAAUCAAUAAACAUUUUAUUUAAAUUGGCCCUAAUUAUUUAAAUAUGUUGAAUUAUGGCCCCUGUUGUGUCGCUCCUUAUUUUGUGUAAUAUUUAGUAAUUUUUUACAAACCAUUGAAAAUAAAUGUUUAAUUGGCUUAUAUACGAGGGCUGAAGUUUUCUCAUAUAUGCAUUUAAAAAAUAUUGAUUGGUACAAAAAGAAGGAGAUACGAAUUGGUUUCCAUUUGGUUUAGACACAUUUUUUCAAGUAUGUUUCAAACGUGAUUAACCAACUAGGUGCAAGUUGUGGUUUAAAGGAUAAGAUAAUUAAGUAAAAAAAGAUAAAGAUGCACAAGUCUGUGAAUAGUAUGUAGUCUUAUUUUGUGUUACUGCCUUACUAAUUAAAACUAACAAUCGUUUAGCUCCUGUGUAGACACCACAUAACAUUCCUAUGAUUUCUAUGGUUGUUACUUACUCGUUUAGAUCUAUGAAAGCAAAGCUGACCAUAAUUUGAUAUUAUGAAAUUGCAGUUAUUGUCAGUUAUUAAUGAUUUGUUAAAUGUAUUCAUUUAAUUAUUAAUUUAAUAUAUUCACUGUUUAGUAAUUCAGCAACACGUAAUUUCUCACAGUAACAGUAGUUGAAAACAAGUUAACGAGAUAAACGCCAUGGUAAGAACCAAGGAAUUACUGUCAGAGCAAUCAUCCUGACAUGAUAUAGUCAAUGUCUACACAAGAGACCACCUAUGUAGUGAUAACAUCUUUAAUCAAGAAUAGCGUUUGAACAAGUGCUAAAGCCUUCUACAGAAAGAAAAAAUCAGUUAACGUUGAUGAUCCUUCGAUUAAUCAAGGUAAGAUUUACAUGUUUAGUAAUUUACUUUUUACUUAUUUUACAGUCAUGUUUUUGCUUAUUACUGUCACUUAUUUGUUAAAUAACAUCUAGUAAGUAUUAAGAAAAAGAACUGUAAUUGAUUUUUAAAAUUGUCUUUAUAAAGAAAUUACUAAUUUUUGACUUCUGUAAAAAAGAUACUUCAGUAUCCUUAAUAUUUAUUUUUGGGGUAAUUGUCUUAUGAUAAAUUAUUAUUGGAGUCUUUUAUUUAACGUUACUUAAUGAAAUUUAUUAAUUAAUUCGUACAAUAAUUGAGUUUUUUAGGCGUUUUCUUAAUGAAUUUUUGACUCUUAACCUUUGUUAUAAAAAAAUCAUACCUUAAUGUUAAAUAAAAAAACAACCAAGUAAAGGUUUCUGAUUAAAAGUAUACACCAUCAUUUUGCGUUAAGGUGUUCCGGAAUACCUAGAAAAAUUGAUUUCUUGACUAUAGUCAACACUAAAGAAGCCUUUUCAUCUGGCUUGUUUUCUAUUUAUCAUUGAUACUAUUGGGGAAGAAUUAAUAACUAAUUCAUACUGUAAGUUUUAUUUUUUUUUUCAGUAAAUAUAGAAAAUAGAUUUUUGAAGUAAUUUUUU